AUUUAAUGGAUUGAAGUGAGGUCCUGAAAGUUACCAUUUUCAUGAAAACUCAGGUAUAUAUCACAAAGGAGAACAAAACCAGUAAAAGCAAACAUUCAUUAGCUGAGAUUUUUAAGCUUUGUUUCUGAUUCCAUUAUCAGCUAUCCAAAUGGUUCCUUUAGCCAAUUCUUUGGCAACACCAAUAGCCAUCCUAAACUAAAAUUAUGAUCCAAACCAAUCCAGUGUCAUCAAGAUUCACAUGUCUGUAUGUGUAUCAGUCUUUUAGAUAAAGGUUAUUUAAGAGAAACAGUCAAGACUUGUAAGUAGCACAAGCUACCAAAAAAAAACAAUCCAUCUGAAAGUAAUUCAAACUCAGCAGAACUAAAAUUGAUAACAAACAAACCAGUAGAGAUGCAGCCAUUUGUG
Molecule: long non-coding RNA, 405 nt
Organism: Arabidopsis thaliana (thale cress)
Lineage: Eukaryota; Viridiplantae; Streptophyta; Magnoliopsida; Brassicales; Brassicaceae
Product: other RNA
Exons: 1
Source: RefSeq